GUGAGUGGAGUGGAGUGGAGAGUGCAGCGGCUGCCAAACAAAGUCGGAAAAAAGGAGUUUAAAUAGCAAGAAAGCCUAUGUUUGAGUGGUCGCUUUGUCGUUUAGGUUUGUUAGAACUGUGAGGAACUUCACUGCUGAAGAAAUUUAGAUGCUAAGACAAGCUUUGGAGCUGUUUUCGCCGAAUACGAGUGAGGCUGGACGCUGAACACACCUGCAGCGAAGGUGUUUACCUGUUGAGCUGCUGCAGCCUGGAGGGAAACACCAGCUCUCACCUCACAGACCAAACAGGUGUCACCACUUCAUCCAUGAGUCCAGAGUUCAGGAC
Molecule: long non-coding RNA, 325 nt
Organism: Lates calcarifer (barramundi perch)
Lineage: Eukaryota; Metazoa; Chordata; Actinopteri; Centropomidae
Exons: 3
Source: RefSeq, a predicted model, not a curated record